AUCGCUUCUCGGCCUUUUGGCUAAGAUCAAGUGUAGUAUAUAUUACAGAGAUUCUUCUGCCUGGUGUAUUCAUU
Podarcis muralis (Common wall lizard) is the source of this 74-nucleotide small nuclear RNA. Its record names the gene U2. It matches the Rfam family "U2 spliceosomal RNA". Rfam says of the family: U2 is a small nuclear RNA (snRNA) component of the spliceosome (involved in pre-mRNA splicing). Complementary binding between U2 snRNA (in an area lying towards the 5' end but 3' to hairpin I) and the branchpoint sequence (BPS) of the intron results the bulging out of an unpaired adenosine, on the BPS, which initiates a nucleophilic attack at the intronic 5' splice site, thus starting the first of two transesterification reactions that mediate splicing. Lineage: Eukaryota; Metazoa; Chordata; Lepidosauria; Squamata; Lacertidae. The record is from Ensembl.